Molecule: ribosomal RNA, 468 nt
Filed under: uncultured bacterium
Lineage: Bacteria
Description: partial 16S ribosomal RNA
Rfam family: Bacterial small subunit ribosomal RNA
Source: RNAcentral
GACGAACGCUGGCGGCGUGCUUAACACAUGCAAGUCGAACGGCAAGGCCCUGCUUUUUUGGUCUUCUCGAGUGGCGAUCGCGUGCGUAACACGUGUGUAACCUGCCCUUCUCUUUGGUAUAACUUCACGUAACUGGGGCUACUCCCGGAUAGCAUCUCCUGCUGCAUUGUGAGGGUGGGAACGUCUCGGCGGUUGCGGUUGGAUUGGCGGCUUAUCAGCUUGUUGGUGGGGUAGUGGCUUACCCAGGCUUUCACCGGUAGCCGGCCUGAGAGGGUGACCGGCGACAUUGGGACUGAGAUACGGCCCAGACGCGUACGGGAGGCAGAAGUGGGGAAUAUUGCACAAUGGGCGGAAGCCGGAUGCAGAAACGCCGCGGGCGGGAUGACGGUCUGCGGGGUGUAAAAAGCUUUCGCCUGUGACGAAGCGGGAGUGACGGUAAUGAGUAAAGAAGCACCGGCUAACUACGUG